Molecule: ribosomal RNA, 565 nt
Filed under: Clonostachys rosea
Lineage: Eukaryota; Fungi; Ascomycota; Sordariomycetes; Hypocreales; Bionectriaceae
Description: eukaryotic LSU rRNA
Rfam family: 5.8S ribosomal RNA (bases 198-351)
Source: RNAcentral
UAACAAGGUCUCCGUUGGUGAACCAGCGGAGGGAUCAUUACCGAGUUUACAACUCCCAAACCCAUGUGAACAUACCUACUGUUGCUUCGGCGGGAUUGCCCCGGGCGCCUCGUGUGCCCCGGAUCAGGCGCCCGCCUAGGAAACUCAACUCUUGUUUUAUUUUGGAAUCUUCUGAGUAGUUUUUACAAAUAAAUAAAAACUUUCAACAACGGAUCUCUUGGUUCUGGCAUCGAUGAAGAACGCAGCGAAAUGCGAUAAGUAAUGUGAAUUGCAGAAUUCAGUGAAUCAUCGAAUCUUUGAACGCACAUUGCGCCCGCCAGUAUUCUGGCGGGCAUGCCUGUCUGAGCGUCAUUUCAACCCUCAUGCCCCUAGGGCGUGGUGUUGGGGAUCGGCCAAAGCCCGCGAGGGACGGCCGGCCCCUAAAUCUAGUGGCGGACCCGUCGUGGCCUCCCCUGCGAAGUAGUGAUAUUCCGCAUCGGAGAGCGACGAGCCCCUGCCGUUAAACCCCCAACUUUCCAAGGUUGACCUCAGAUCAGGUAGGAAUACCCGCUGAACUUAAGCAUAU